Molecule: ribosomal RNA, 460 nt
Filed under: uncultured bacterium
Lineage: Bacteria
Description: partial 16S ribosomal RNA
Rfam family: Bacterial small subunit ribosomal RNA
Source: RNAcentral
CCUACGGGAGGCAGCAGUGAGGAAUAUUGGUCAAUGGACGAGAGUCUGAACCAGCCAAGUAGCGUGAAGGAUGACUGCCCUAUGGGUUGUAAACUUCUUUUAUAAAGGAAUAAAACGAGGCACGUGUGCCUUUUUUUAUGUACUUUAUGAAUAAGAAUCGGCUACCUCCGUGCCAGCAGCCGCGGUAAUACGGGGGAUCCGAGCGUUAUCCGGAUUUAUUGGGUUUAAAGGGAGCGUAGAUGGGUUGUUAAGUCAGUUGUGAAAGUUUGCGGCUCAACCGUAAAAUUGCAAUUGAUACUGGCAGUCUUGAGUACAGUUGAGGUAGGCGGAAUUCGUGGUGUAGCGGUGAAAUGCUUAGAUAUCACGAAGAACCCCGAUUGCGAAGGCAGCUUACUAAACUGUGACUGACAUUGAUGCUCGAAAGUGUGGGUAUCAAACAGGAGUAGAUACCCUAGUAGUC